This is a long non-coding RNA of Brassica oleracea var. oleracea, 2889 nucleotides long. RefSeq lists it as uncharacterized. The record is from RefSeq and is a predicted model, not a curated record. The transcript is spliced from 5 exons. Lineage: Eukaryota; Viridiplantae; Streptophyta; Magnoliopsida; Brassicales; Brassicaceae.
UAGCUCUCAAACUCUGUUUCUCUUUUCUUCCUCUCUCCGUCUCUAUCUCUUCAUCUCGUGUCUCUCCGUCUCUUCUUCUUCUUCUUCUUCUUCUUCCAGAUUGAUUCUCAAUCACUCUAUUAUAUUUGAUUGAUUGAAUUUAGUUUUUGAUCGAUUUAGAAUCGGGAAAACGAAUUACUCGUUAAAGGCCAUUGAUCGGACCUUCAACUUCGCUCAUGGUAAGUCACGAGUACCACCAUCGCUGCUGUUAUGCUUGAUACAAAGAAGUUGGAUCAACGAUACUAGAGAAUGGGAGGAGGGGUUUAGAGUUUUGCAUUUGGUGAGACCGUUUUUUGCAUUGUAUAGUUCUCAUCAUCCUCCAGCUUUUCUUUGCCGGAAUCAUUGUUAUCUGCCUUGACGAGCUUCUUCAGAAGGGGUAUGUAUGGUCUCGGCUCAGGAAUCUCCCUUUUCAUCGCCACCAACAUCUGUGAGAGCAUCACCUGGAAGGCAUUUAGCCCAACCGGCAGAACCUUCCCAAUGUUACCAACUGGCUUGCCACAGUCCAAGGGCCCCGCGUGGUUUUGCCUAUGAGAUCAAAGAAUGCCCGUGGACAACAGGGUUCUUACCCAAUCAAGCUGUUCUACACCUCUAACAUGCCCAUCAUUCUCCAAUCCGCUCAGCUUCUCUACAGGAAGUUCAGUGGAAACUUCUUUGUGAACCUUUUGGGACAAUGGAAAGAAUCUGAGUACAGUGGGCAAUCUAUUCCAGUUAGUGGUCUGGCUUACCUCAUCACAACUCCAGCAAGGUAAUGCAAAAAUAUCAUCGAUGUUUGUUUUAAUCCACAAAUUGUUAUCUCCACCAACAGGUUUGAUGAAUAUAUGUUACUAUAUUUAAUAAAUAAAUUUUAUUUUUAAUAAAACAAUGUUUAAUAAAUUUUUUUUUAAGAACCCUUAGUUAAUAAACUAGCAUUGAAGUACAAAAUUUAAAUGUGUCUUAACUAAAUUUCUUAACUACGUUUAAUUACUUAAAUAAUCAUUAAGAGACCCAAAUGGGGUUCCUUGGUUAAUCAUGCUCUUAGGUAAGCUCAUACGAAAGCGUCGUAAUUAAUAUUGCUGACUAAUUCCUGAAAUCCCUCGCUUACUAUGCCUGUAAUGAGAGUAUCCUAUUCUUCUUCUCCCACAUCACUCUUACAACGUUUAUAACCUUCUUAUCUAUAUUAAUCUUUUAAUCAAAAACACAGGAAAACGGCCAAGUCCAAUCUCAACAUUGCUUCACUGUCUCAAUCCAAACAUAUAUUUAGUACCUAUGCUAAAACAUAGUCAACGUAUGAACACUAUCUGUUUUUUUUUUUGAAAUCCGGAUCUACUAAAGACACAGACCUAACCUCCGGGUGGAGUUACAUCCCACAGAUAGAUUCUCUCCUAAUAUUCAAAUGAAAACUAUCCGUCACGUAUUGAAAUAUAAAAAUUCUAGUUAUCAUUAUACUUUAAUACAAUGUUGAAGUCAGAACUGGCCACUAUCUUACCAUUACCAUGGACACAUGCGUCACCAAGAUUAUUUUAAUUCCCAUGGUUUCUAAUAGAUUCACAAGACAUUUCUACACUUUUUGUAGAAUAUGAUCGGUGAUAAUCAAAAUCUUCUGUUUUUAUUUUAAUCAAGUCGGUGCCUUGAUGCCAUGCAACUGAAGAAAAAUCCUGGUAACCCUAUGGCCCGGGGAUAACUCUUCUCCACCUGAAAUAGAUAUAAAUAUCUCCGCCACAAAAUUCCAACUUUGACAACUUAGAACAGCAUUAACAUGGGUUCUAACGAGGAGUUAUUAAUGUUUUUGGGUUAAAAAAAAGAGGUAAUUAAGCAAAUAACGUCGCUUAAAUUGGGGACAGAGGAAACGUCUCUAAUUGGACACGCGUUGGUGUUUGGAGGCGUUGGUUCCUCUUUGUCGACGACUCCAACUCUCUCUCUCUCUCUCGCUAUCCUCGUUUCCUCCGCGUCGCUCUCUCUCUAUCUCUCUUGCGAUCUCUCUUCCGAUCUCUCCUCGUCCGAAUCAGAAGAUGAUCUCUUCUCGACGGGAUGAGUCGGCGCCUCUCGACGACUCCUUCUCUCUUGCUAUCCUCGUUGCAUGCGCGUCUAUCUCUCAAUCCUCGACGCCUCCGUCUCUGUGGCUCUCCUCGACGGAAUCAGUCCGCGCCGCUCUCGACGACUACUCGUCUCUGUGGCUCUCCUCGACGCCUCCGCGUCUCGCUCUCGAUCGUCGACGGCUCCGCCGUCCUUCUCUAGCUGUCGACGCCUCCGCGUCUCGCUCUCGAUCGUCAAACCGAAAGGUAAAUCGAAGUCAAACCGAAUCGGUCUUAGUUAUUUUGAUAUGGUGGUUGUGUUGGCCCUUACAUUUUGUCUCUUAUGUCUCAAUCAUACUUUGUUAUGUAUUGUUUAUGUCUCCUGAUUCAUGUAUGGAUCACCACUGAUACAUUUUCAUUUGUCAAAUACGAGGACUACUCUCCGGAUCAAGCUGACAUGUUAGUUCGGCAAAGACGAGGAUCAAACGACAAUUCGGCGGCGGCAAAGACUACAGUGAAUCAGCUUUUCAUCUUUCAAACGUUUCAUUCUUCUUCUCGCCUUCUCUUCUUUCAAAAACCUCGGGGAAGAUAGUGUCCAUGUUUCUUCAUCAAAGGUUCCUCUUUAUGGAACUCCGCGAAGUGAAGAUCCUCAUCUCGGUGAGACCCCUGCAGAGCGUAAAGAAAGAAGAACAUGGACGCCUACAGAUGAUCAAGUGCUCAUAUCUGCUUGGUUAAACACUAGUAAGGAUCCUGUUGUAGAGAAUGAGUAGCGAUCCGAAGCUUUUUGGCAGAGAAUCUUUGUUUAUAUGUUUUUUUUAAGUUCUAUGUUUAAAAUGUAAUCUUUUAGAAUGUUUUAAUU